GGAUUAGGCAUGCAAGUCGAACGAGGAUAUGUCCUUCGGGGAUAUAAGCCGAGUGGCGCAAGGGUGAGUAAUGCAUAGAUUCCCUGCCUUUAGGAUAAGGACAACUUUGUGAAAAUGAAGCUAAUACUUAAUAACACAAAAGAAAAUAAUUUUCAUUUGUCAAAUGGAGGGUAGCAAUAUCUUUCGCCUAAAGAGGGGUUUAUGUCCUAUCAACUUGUUGGUGGGGUAAUGGCCUACCAAGGCGAAGACGGGUAGCCGGCCUGAGAGGGUGGUCGGCCACACUGGGGACUGAGACACUGCCCAGACUCCAUACGGGAGGCUGCAGUCGAGAAUCUUUCGCAAUGCCCGAAAGG
This 353-nucleotide ribosomal RNA is filed under the name uncultured Planctomycetota bacterium. RNAcentral's name for it is "bacterial SSU rRNA". It matches the Rfam family "Bacterial small subunit ribosomal RNA", at positions 46 to 382 of the family's 1533-position model. Lineage: Bacteria; Pseudomonadati; Planctomycetota. The record is from RNAcentral.